Molecule: long non-coding RNA, 781 nt
Organism: Epinephelus fuscoguttatus (brown-marbled grouper)
Lineage: Eukaryota; Metazoa; Chordata; Actinopteri; Perciformes; Serranidae
Exons: 4
Source: RefSeq, a predicted model, not a curated record
AGGAGGGUCUUAUGCGCAAAAGGCUUUUCAUUAUGAUACGGCUCGGUCUGUUUUCUAUAAAGUUAGCUUUCACAUUUUCGAACUCUUAAAUUGAAUGACUACAUUUUUGUAUGUGGUUACAUACGCUACUUGCAUGGACGGAUCAUGAGACAAUGGACCCCUGGGCACAGAUAUGCAAAGAGCCCCACCACCUCUCUUGCAUAGGAGCAAGACACACCUUUGUUGUGGGGGCAGAACUCCACUUCAGGCAAAAAAUCUUCAUCCAUUGUUCAUCCUGAGACCCAGAAAAAAGAAGUUUUAAUGUUUUACUACACAAUUUAAGUCAUUGGUAGAUAAUGCUCCUUGGUUCUUGGACCCACUUACCUCUCCCUUCAUCAUUCUGACUCGGGCCAGCCACCAGCCACAAGGCUCCUGUUCGUUUGCCCUUGAGUAAACCUGUAAGGAGAUGCAAAGUAAAUGAUAGCCAAGUCAAAGACAAAAAAGAAUACAGCUAUAACACAAACUGAAGAAGUAUUUCACUGCUGGAAAUAUGGUCUUUUUUCAUAACGCGACUGUCUAUGCAGAAGAAAGAUGCAAAUACUUUUGAAAUUGGUGCUACAUGGACCAAUAAACAGUCCCACUGGUGGGUGACGUGAUGCGAGCUUGGUGACUUGAUGCGAGCUUGGUGACAUGAUGCGAGUUUGGUGAAAUGAUGCAAGCUUGUCCAUUUUGACUCAGGAAACAAUAUGGCAGCCGGCUGGUAAAAAUGAUCUCGAAUUACAAUUAAAACAGAAAGCUAAAA